AAAAAUAUUUGGUCUCGUGCCAAAUUUACACCUGUGUGCACCAUUGUCUGUAUUUGGUAGCUCGAGCGCGCUCCGGAAGCUCAACACUUCCAUUAGGGGCGCCUACCCUUGCGGGUCACAUCUCGCUUGGGUUGGGCUACCGCCUUUUUUUUUUGAAAAAACCUUUUUUGUUUUGCCUUUUUGUCUGAACGAAGAGUUGAUCUUAAUUGAUUAAUGAUUUGAAAA
RNAcentral lists this unclassified non-coding RNA (225 nucleotides) under soil metagenome. Its description in RNAcentral is "partial internal transcribed spacer 1". The record is from RNAcentral.